Molecule: ribosomal RNA, 881 nt
Filed under: Rhodotorula mucilaginosa
Lineage: Eukaryota; Fungi; Basidiomycota; Microbotryomycetes; Sporidiobolales; Sporidiobolaceae
Description: LSU rRNA
Rfam family: Eukaryotic large subunit ribosomal RNA
Source: RNAcentral
UUAGCAUAUCAAUAAGCGGAGGAAAAGAAACUAACAAGGAUUCCCCUAGUAGCGGCGAGCGAAGCGGGAAGAGCUCAAAUUUAUAAUCUGGCACNUUCGGUGUCCGAGUUGUAAUCUCUAGAAAUGUUUUCCGCGUUGGACCGCACACAAGUCUGUUGGAAUACAGCGGCAUAGUGGUGAGACCCCCGUAUAUGGUGCGGACGCCCAGCGCUUUGUGAUACAUUUUCGAAGAGUCGAGUUGUUUGGGAAUGCAGCUCAAAUUGGGUGGUAAAUUCCAUCUAAAGCUAAAUAUUGGCGAGAGACCGAUAGCGAACAAGUACCGUGAGGGAAAGAUGAAAAGCACUUUGGAAAGAGAGUUAACAGUACGUGAAAUUGUUGGAAGGGAAACGCUUGAAGUCAGACUUGCUUGCCGAGCAAUCGGUUUGCAGGCCAGCAUCAGUUUUCCGGGAUGGAUAAUGGUAGAGAGAAGGUAGCAGUUUCGGCUGUGUUAUAGCUCUCUGCUGGAUACAUCUUGGGGGACUGAGGAACGCAGUGUGCCUUUGGCGGGGGUUUCGACCUCUUCACACUUAGGAUGCUGGUGGAAUGGCUUUAAACGACCCGUCUUGAAACACGGACCAAGGAGUCUAACAUGCUUGCGAGUAUUUGGGUGUCAAACCCGGAUGCGUAAUGAAAGUGAAUGGAGGUGGGAACCGCAAGGUGCACCAUCGACCGAUCUGGAUUUUUAAUGAUGGAUUUGAGUAAGAGCACGUAUGUUGGGACCCGAAAGAUGGUGAACUAUGCCUGAAUAGGGCGAAGCCAGAGGAAACUCUGGUGGAGGCUCGUAGCGGUUCUGACGUGCAAAUCGAUCGUCAAAUUUGGGUAUAGGGGCGAAAGACUAAUCG